This 1267-nucleotide ribosomal RNA is filed under the name uncultured Schleiferia sp. Its description in RNAcentral is "bacterial SSU rRNA". It matches the Rfam family "Bacterial small subunit ribosomal RNA", at positions 11 to 1286 of the family's 1533-position model. The record is from RNAcentral. Lineage: Bacteria; Pseudomonadati; Bacteroidota; Flavobacteriia; Flavobacteriales; Schleiferiaceae.
GUUUGAUCCUGGCUCAGGAUGAACGCUAGCGGCAGGCCUAACACAUGCAAGUCGAACGGUAGUCAGCAGCAAUGUUGACGAGAGUGGCGCACGGGUGCGUAACGCGUAUGUAACCUGCCCCAUGCUGGGGGAUAGCCUCCCGAAAGGGAGAUUAAUACCCCAUGGUAAUACUGAGUUGCAUGACUUGGUAUUUAAAGCUGAGGCGGUAUGGGAUGGGCAUGCGUCCGAUUAGGUAGUUGGUAGGGUAAAGGCCUACCAAGCCUACGAUCGGUAGGGGAACUGAGAGGUUGGUCCCCCACACUGGUACUGAGACACGGACCAGACUCCUACGGGAGGCAGCAGUGAGGAAUAUUGGGCAAUGGCCGCAAGGCUGACCCAGCCAUGCCGCGUGCAGGAAGAAGGCCCUAUGGGUUGUAAACUGCUUUUCUCAGGGGGUAAACCCUCUUACGUGAUAGGAGGCUGAAAGUACCUGAGGAAUAAGCAUCGGCUAACUCCGUGCCAGCAGCCGCGGUAAUACGGAGGAUGCGAGCGUUAUCCGGAUUCAUUGGGUUUAAAGGGUCCGUAGGCGGUUUGUUAAGUCAGGGGUGAAAUCCUUCAGCUCAACUGAAGAAUUGCCUUUGAUACUGGCAGGCUAGAGUGCGACAGAGGUGGAUGGAAUGUGUCAAGUAGCGGUGAAAUGCAUAGAUAUGACACAGAACACCGAUUGCGAAGGCAGUUCACUGGGUCGCAACUGACGCUGAUGGACGAAAGCGUGGGGAGCAAACAGGAUUAGAUACCCUGGUAGUCCACGCCCUAAACGAUGAUCACUUGCUGUUGGUUCGUCAGAUGAAUCAGUGGCAAAGCGAAAGCGUUAAGUGAUCCACCUGGGGAGUACGGCCGCAAGGUUGAAACUCAAAGGAAUUGACGGGGGCCCGCACAAGCGGUGGAGCAUGUGGUUUAAUUCGAUGAUACGCGAGGAACCUUACCUGGGCUUAAAUGCAGGCUGACGGACUUGGAAACAGGUUUUUCCUGCGGGACGGCUUGCAAGGUGCUGCAUGGUUGUCGUCAGCUCGUGCCGUGAAGGGUUUGGGUUAAGUCCCCUAACGAGCGCAACCCCUACCCUUAGUUACCACCGGGAGAACCGGGGACUCUAAGGGACUGCCCCCUAAGGGGAAGGAAGAGAGGGGGGAUAACUUCAAUCUUCCCGGCCCUUACUUCAGGGGUACCACUUGCUAAAUGGGGGUUACAAAGGGACCACCUGGGCACGGAGCUAACCUUAAAACACGUC